UCGGAUGGUAUUGUCACCUAUAGUCCUCUACAUAGGUCCAACUGUGCCGGGACGUAGAAUGGGUCAACCGGUCUUUCCCUUAUCAUAACAUAUCAUAUGGACCAACUGUGCCAGGGACGUAGAAUGGGUACAACCUGGACUUUCUCUUACAUCGUGCCAGGGACGUAGAAUGGGUACAACCUGGACUUCCAUACCAUAACAUGCCAUAACAUCAAUCAUAUCAUAGGAGGACUAAAGGAUCAUCCAAUAACCAAUCCACAUCAACAUAGACAUCAUAAAUGCAAUGCAACAUAUUCGUGAAUACUAAUGCAAGCAACCUAUUAUAUCUCAUGGCAUUCAUGAUGCAUGGAUCAUGCUCAAAAUUCAUCUUUCAUUUAUUUAAAACUUAAGGUUUAUUCCACUCAC
This 405-nucleotide long non-coding RNA is filed under the name Manihot esculenta (cassava). RNAcentral's name for it is "long non-coding RNA (MESC_LNC006513)". Lineage: Eukaryota; Viridiplantae; Streptophyta; Magnoliopsida; Malpighiales; Euphorbiaceae. The record is from RNAcentral.